AUGGCCGCCGAGGUGGUGGCGCUCUCGCCGGCGUCCCGCCUGCCGUCCCUCUCCUCCAGGCCCGCCGCCUCCUCCUCCUCCCGCGCCCAUCGCGCUGCCCGCUCUGCCCGGUCACCGCCGGCGCUCGCCGUAACGACGUUCGCGUUGGGCCGCCGCCGCCAAGCACUGCUGCUCCUCCGGCCCCGCGCCACCGAGCAGCAAGGGCAGGUGCAGCAGCAGGAGGAGGAGGUGGUGGACGGCAACGUGCUCCCCUACUGCAGCAUCGACGGCAAGAAGAAGAAGACCAUCGGGGAGAUGGAGCAGGAGUUCCUACGAGCCCUGCAGUCCUUCUACUACGACCAGAAGGCCAUCAUGUCCAACGAGGAGUUCGACAACCUCAAGGAGGAGCUCAUGUGGGAAGGCAGCAGCGUCGUCAUGCUAAGCGCCGAUGAGCAGAGGCUCCUGGAAGCCUCCAUGGCCUACAUCGCCGGCAACCCCAUCAUGUCCGACGCCGAAUUCGACGAGCUCAAGCUCAGACUCAAGCAAGAUGGAAGCGACAUCGUGACGGAAGGCCCUAGGUGCAGUCUACGGAGUCGGAAGGUUUACAGCGAUCUGACGGUUGACUACUUGAAGAUGUUCCUGCUCAAUGUUCCAGCGACUAUUGUUGCUCUAGGACUGUUCUUUUUCAUCGAUGAGCUGACUGGCUUUGAGGUCAAUGUAUUCCAGUUUCCGGAGCCCUUCGGAUUCAUAUUCACAUAUUUUGCCGCUUUGCCUCUGAUAUUGGUUACGGCGCAAGUGGUAACCAAGGCCAUAAUAAAUGAUGUCUUAAUCCUGAAGGGGCCGUGUCCGAACUGCGGCACUGAAAAUCUUUCCUUCUACGGGACGAUACUGUCGAUCGAGAGUGGUGGAGCAACGAACAAUGUGAAGUGCGCAAAUUGCAAAACGGUGAUGGUAUACGACUCAAAAACUCGGUUGAUCACACUUCCAGAUUCAUGA
RNAcentral lists this ribosomal RNA (975 nucleotides) under Triticum aestivum (bread wheat). RNAcentral describes it as "partial small subunit ribosomal RNA". The record is from RNAcentral. Lineage: Eukaryota; Viridiplantae; Streptophyta; Magnoliopsida; Poales; Poaceae.